CCAGACGGUCGGACGGUCGCUGUUCUGCAUUAUGUGCAGGAGGGAGGAAAGUCCGGGCUCCACGGGAGAACGGUGCCAGCUAACGGCUGGCGAGGGUGACCUUAGGGAAAGUGCCACAGAAAACAAACCGCCUUCCGGGCGAUGUUUCAUGGGAAACCAUGGGACAAAGCUGAAGGUAAGGGUGAAACGGUGCGGUAAGAGCGCACCGCUCUUCUGGUAACAGCGGAGGCAGGGCAAACCCCACCGGGAGCAAGACCGAAUAGGAGCGGCGGAAACCUGCAAGGGUUUCAGGGGUUCUCCCGCCCCGCUGCUCGGGUUGGUUGCGCGAGGCACAUCGUGAGGUGUGUCCCAGACGAAUGACCGUCCAGGCUCUCCGGAGCUGGACAGAACCCGGCUUACAGACCGUCUGGCAUU
Non-coding RNA from Acetobacter persici, 414 nucleotides. The record is from Rfam. NCBI's taxonomy places the organism in Bacteria, Pseudomonadati, Pseudomonadota, Alphaproteobacteria, Acetobacterales, Acetobacteraceae.